AAGCAUUCUAGUUUGCACAACUCCACCGACGUGACCGGGCCAAGACUGCAAAUUUAGGGUUAGGGUUAGAAAUGGAUUUGAGAGUUAGACGCAGACGGAGAAAAAGACGGAAGGGCAAUGGAAGAACCAAAAUCAGAAGCAGCUUGAAUAUAUAUAAUUUUCCACCAUGCCUAAAAAGAGUGUUGGGUCAACUUGAGAGGAUUGCCAAACAGGGAAAUGACCAACCAACUGUAUAUGGCGAUCUCGGGUUGAUUGACAAUGCCUAUGAUCUUGCCUCAUUUAUUUCCAAGCAAUGGGGAAUGGGAAAAUCGACCUUCAUCGUACAGGAUAUGGUGGAAAAUGAGGUUUUUGCACUUACCAUGGAAGAGGAGGCUAAACCCAACAAUGCACUAUUUGUCUCCACUAGGUUAGCAUUGAGCUAUAAGGUUACUGAUGCUGUCAUGCUUUCCUAUAGCAAAAAAGUCUUGGUGAUGCAUAAAAAUUUAAAUCUAAAAAUUACUAAGGAAGUCAUUUGAUACAUUUUACCAAGAACAUGGUUAAAUUAUGAGGCAAUAAACUUUUAUUUGGAACUGUUAAAUGAGAGGGGAAAAAGAGAAGCCACACGAUUCUUGAAAUGCCACUUCUUUAGAACAUUCUUUAGAAGCUUGCUCGCUUUGAUUGGGGAGUAUUCAAGUAUUGCUGAUUUCCAUAGUCGUGAAAUUCCACCGAAUUUCACACAGGCAAACAUCUUGUACUAUGUAAGAGAAUAUCAAAUGACGAGCAGAGUAAAAGGCAGACAUCCUGUACCAUGUAAGAGAAUAUCAAAUGAUGAGCAGAGUGAAAGAUGAGCAUUUGUAGAGUGAAAGGCAGACACCCUGUACUAUCUAUGUUAGAGAACAUCAAAUGACGAGCAGAGUGAAAGAUGAGCAUUUGUAGAUUACAUGAGUGACAAAUUACACUAAAGACUACAUGACUUUGUGCAUUUGAAAUAGUAUCAGAAAAUCUUAGCAGUUGUGGGUUACAUGAUAGUUUAGAAAGCAAUUAUUUUGUCAGAAACUAUGACAGAAACAUGGCCAAAGCUAUCCAAGUCAAGGGGCAGUUUAAGGAAUCAGGAAAACAACGAACUCGAACAGACCUGUUGAAAGAGAAAUCAAAUUUAAUUUGUACUGUUCAAGUCUCUUGACUUUUCACUUACUUAUCCUUUGCAGUUAACAUCUGCUAAGCUUGAUAUCUGGUAUCCAUCAGGAAGUUUGAUAGCUGAGAUAUUUAAGCAACAAUUAAAAGAACAUGGUGCAGGAGCUCCAACAACUAAAUUAUUGUCUUAAAACAGAGGACCAGUUUGUAAAUCUUUUCCUAGUGUCAAAUAAAGCAAUUUCCUUGGCAAUUUUAUAAGAAAAAUUUGUAUAUAUUGUAAGGCAGAAAUUCAGUAUAAUGAGCUUUAUAGUCCAGAGCAUACAAGGUACGUACAUUCUGUUUACAAUGCAUCCAUACCUUUACGGACUAUAUUUUGUUAACCUAGAAACCUGGCCAAUCUAGCUUGGGGAUUUGGGAAAGACUUUGAGUUCGGGAUUGUUAUGAACAUGUGAAAAGCUUUUGAAGGCAAUGAGGUUGGGUUUCUCUCGGAAUUUGUGCCAAUUCAACUGGCAAAAGGAUUUCAUUUCAAUUUUAGCGAAGCAACUGUUGAGGCUGAAUGAUUUUGGAGAGCAGACUCAUGGAGCUUUUCUUGCCUUUCAUAUGGGUUGAACAGUAGGAAAACUAUUCUUGAUUGUAUUGUUUGACCCAUAUCGGCAACACAAAAUAUCCAUCUCUCUUUAUUUCUCAAAAGGACCCUUAAUGCAACAAGUAGAUUAUUGUCAACCUAUAUUGGCCAAACUGGUUUUGAUGCCACUAUGAAGAGAUAAUACUAAUUUAAUAUAAUGUCUUGGCUAUGUAGCAUUUUCCAUUCCUUGAUAAAAGGACAAGCCUUUCUUUAUCCUAGAUUUUAAUUGAUUGAACUCAAACGAGAUAGCAUUUAUUCAGAUCGUUGACAGCCAAGAAAUGAUCACGUAAUGAUAUUGACUGUUUGAGCGGCUUGUACAUGGACCAAAUUGACCAAACCCU
This is an RNA transcript of Cryptomeria japonica (Japanese cedar), 2079 nucleotides long. RefSeq lists it as uncharacterized. The record is from RefSeq and is a predicted model, not a curated record. The transcript has 8 exons. Lineage: Eukaryota; Viridiplantae; Streptophyta; Pinopsida; Cupressales; Cupressaceae.